GCGCGGGUGGCGGAAUUGGUAGACGCGCACGUUUGAGGGGCGUGUGCCUUUGGCAUGUGGGUUCAAGUCCCACCUCGCGCA
RNAcentral lists this transfer RNA (81 nucleotides) under Omnitrophica WOR_2 bacterium GWA2_37_7. RNAcentral describes it as "tRNA-Leu". It matches the Rfam family "tRNA". From Rfam's summary of the family: Transfer RNA (tRNA) molecules are approximately 80 nucleotides in length. Their secondary structure includes four short double-helical elements and three loops (D, anti-codon, and T loops). RNAcentral also lists the same sequence under 6 other names. Lineage: Bacteria; Pseudomonadati; Candidatus Omnitrophota. The record is from RNAcentral.